CUGUCAUUUAAUUGUUGCUCUGAAAGCUUCUUUAGUGAAAACCGGCUGGUGUUCUGCUUUGAAACAAACUGCUGUUGAGGUCUGUGUUUUUAGGUUUAACCCCACAGUUUCUGAAUGAACUGAUAGGUUUUUUUUUUUUUCCUGAUCAAUGUGGACGUUAUAAUUGAUGGUAACAUUUACUGAUCAUAUAAUCAGCAUGACAAUAUAACAGUAGAACAUUCUGACCACCUGACUAAUACUGUGUUGGUCCCUUUAUGCUGCUAAAACUCCUCUGACCCAGUGGUUCAUCAGAACCUCUGGGGAUCCUGUGGAUUCUGUGGAUCCUGUGGGUUGCAGGGUGGGUCCUACCUAGACCAGGCUGAUCCUGGACCAUCCCACAGAUGCUCCAUCAGAUCUGGAUGUGGGGAGUGUGGAACCCAGAUGUUCAGAGGGAGAUGAUGCCACAUCUGGUCCAGCUGAUGGAAGGUCUUGAAGUUCUCUGACUGGCCUCGACUGAAGAUGGUCGUCUCACUGGAUUUAAGGUUGAGAUGCUCAGUAACAAACUCCACCAAUGAGCCAACAGGGAAGCUUUAGGUUUAUUAAAUGUUGCUAUGAAGGUAUCGCUGUUUUUCUUAGUGAAUACAAUGAGCUCCAACUGAAACUUGAAUUAGAACUUAGAAGUAAAUCCUUCCAUGUGAAAGGAUUUAGUUGCAUUAAUAACCUCAUAACAUCCUAAUUUUUAUUCCAGUCUUGGUUGGAAAUAGAAUCUCUGUAUUGAUUCAGGUAAAAACUGAACUUCACAGCAUGUUGGAGCAAAACAACCAGAUGAAAACUGUGAUGGUGUUGGAUUGUCAGACUGUAAUGUUGCAGCUCAAAGCAGCUUUUCUAGCUCAGUUCAUUCUGACAUUCAGCUAUGAAUCAACACAGCAGAUGGUGAUCCAUGCUGUGGAAGUCUCACAUCUCCUGAUUUAAUGGAGCUGCUUUGCACUUUUUACACUGUUUAUUCACCAACACUUUAUUUAAUAAAAGUCCCAUCUAGUUUUUAUGAGGAAUGUGAUGUUUUAAUUUCUCUGAAUAACUGCAGUCUAAUGUAACAGCUGGAGUUGUAACAUCUGUCCUGAUGUUGAUCAUGAAGUAUUGAUCAGAAUACUUAUGGUCAGCAGUCAUCCCUGAAGUUUUACAUUAAAAUCUUUACUUCUGUUGUGAACUUUGGUAAGAAGCAGAAACUUUAGCGUUGCCAUGGAUACAUGAGUGUUAAAUUCUGUCCAUGUUUCCAUUUUGGGAAAUGCAGUCCAGCAGAUGAGUUUGUUUUUACUGCCAGCUACCAUUCAGUCUGAGAUAUUAAGAAUAAAUAAAUGUGCAUAAUGUGGAAAUGAACAGGUUUUAUUUUUAUUUAUUCCUACAGCUGCUGCAUUUAAAGUUCUAGAAUGUGGAGGAAUUUAGUCUCACAACCACAGACAAUAAAUAUUAUCUGAAUGUCAGGUUAUUGUUGUUUAUCAGCACAAUACAAAAAGAUUAAUGUUAGAAAUAUUCCAGUUAAGACUCCAAUUAAGAUUCCAGUUAAGAAUAUCAAGAUUUAUGUAAAUUUACCUCAAUAAUAUAAAUGUUCAGGUUAAGAUUGUACAGUGAUAUUUAUUAUGUAAGUUUAGCUGAUUAAAGUUUAUGAGUCUGCACUAAAAUAUUAUUUAAAUUUACAUCAUUAUUAUAAUAUUUAGGGUCAGACCCUACAGUAUUGAGAUUAAGAAAUCAAAUAUUCUUUAAAAUCUAAAUACACUGAACUAAUUUGGAUAUAUUUAAGUGAGACUCUACAAUAUUAUUUGACACAAAUCUAUCUAAAUCAAAAUUUGAAUCAUUUUUACUCCAAAUAUUUACUGGACUGAUUUAAAUAUUAAAAUCACUCCUUUCUAAUCCUCUGCUGUAUGUUCAAACCUGAGGCCUUAAAUAGAAACACACAAGUAUCUGAUUGAAGGAACUUCUGCAGAGUCCUGGUUCCAGAACAUGAUGAUAGAAUUAUAGACAAACUUCAACAAAAGCUGCCUGAGAGUUUACAGGUUUUUAUGUUAGAUUUCUUCAGUAAUUUAAUGAUAGUUAUCAGCAAAAAUCAAGUGUUCAUUUGAUGAACUUCAUUUCCUAAAACAUCCAGAAUUGGAGCUCAUAUCUUUGGCAGCUGUAAAGUUUCUGCUCCUUCAAAGUUCACAACACAAUGAAUGAAUUCCUAAAACACUCUCAAUGCUGGAGAGUGUUUGUGAUGCUGAAGCAGUGACCAGUUUUUCUGUUUCUUCUCUGGAGAUGCACAAUGAGGGACGUCUGCAGCGACUGAGAAAGAGUCUCACCACAUCCUGACAUGAGGAAAAAGACUUUAUUGAAGACUACAAUGAGAAAAACUAUCAGACAGCAGACGGCUGCAUUCAAGGUGAGCUCUGAACAUUUAAUCUGGAACAGGAAUUCAAUAACUGCAGCAUGAGCUUCAUUUCAGUCUGUAGCUGCUGAAUUCAUGGAUGAAUCAUCUGGCAUUAGAGAGGAAGACCAUCAAACAUCCAUGUCAGCUGAUGGAGGUCCAAGAGUCUCACCCAACAAACAACCUACAGAGUGAAGACCUCCAAUCUGAUUGGACGGCCUCCUAUUCAGCCACAUUUUAGGCUGUUAGAUUGUUCCAGAUAAGACAAAUACAAGAUUCUUCAGAGCCGUUCUACCAGGAGCCUGACAGGAAGAACUCCAACAGCUACUGAAUGUUCCUGUGGUCCCCUGAAGGUUACAGGAGGAGUCCUAUGAGGACGAACCGGUCCACCUGAUGGUGGCCAGUCGCUGCGGUUCAAAGCCAACACCGACUACGUGGACUUCUACUGGACCACACGGAGGCCUUCAAACCGGACCAACAAGUUCAGCGACUCCCCGACUCGUGGGUCUGAGGACGCCGCCGAGCCUCGGUCCAGCCGGCCUCCUGUCUGUGGAUGUUUGAGUGCUGAGAGGUUUGUGGAUGCAUGUGAAAGUUCUGUGUUGAAACAGCAGCUUUGGACUCAGUAACGCCAGGAAAAACCAAGAGCUCCUUUAUUUGUGACUUCCACUAAAAAAACUGAUGAAAAUAAGUUUGCCAGGGUUCUGACUGAUAACAGAUUAUUAAAUAAUGAAAAUAACAGUUUAAAUAUUCCUUUAAACAAUCCUUUUAGAUCUACAUUUCCUUUACACUGACUUCUUGGUAUAUGUACAAGUAUUUUGGGUGGAAUAUACCAUUAAGCCCAAUGUUCAAGGGUUCUUCUGGGAAUAUACCAUUAAACCAACCUUUUAGGUAAAUGUUCCAGGAUGUUGGGUAGAAUAUACCAUCAGAUAAACCUUUUAGGUCUACAUUGGAAGAUUUUAGAGUAGAAUAUUCCUCCAAACCAUCCUUUAGGUCUACAUUUAAGGUGGAAUACUCCUUUACACUAAGAUUUUUUGGUCUACAUUGAAGGAUUUUAGGUGGAAUUUUCUUUCAAAUCGUCUUUUAGUCUACAUUAAAGGAUGUUUAGGAUGGUAUAUUCUUCCAAACCAACUUCUCAGGUUUACAGUUCAGGUGGAAUAUUCCUCCAUACUAACUUUUUUGGUCUACAUUGAAGGAUUUUUUUCUAAACCACCCUUUCGGGUCUAUAUUUGAGGUUUUAGGUGGAAUAUUCCUUUUAACCAGCCCCUCAGGUCUCUUUGAGGAUUUUAGAUAGAAUACUCAGUUAAACCAACAUUUUAGGUGCAUGUCCAAGGAUUUUUGGUGGAAUAUUCCUUUAAGGUGGAUGUGUGAGGACCUUGUAGGUGGAAUACUUCCUGAAACCAACCUUUUACGUCAACAUUCAAAGAUUUAAGGUGGAAUAUUCCUUUAAACCAACCAAAUUUCAUGUUUUGAUCAUUAUCAAGUGAGAAACCUCAAUCCAGACUCCUCAUAAUGAUGUUUGACAUUUAUGCUGCUGUUAUUUGUUUAGUCCAGACUAAAUGACAGAAAUCUACAACUGUAAUUUUAUUUCAGGACUCAGUUAUUAAAUGUCAAAACAAUCCAUGUGACUCUAAAAACUCAACAGCUUUACAAACUCUAAGAUUAAACUCUCCACAAGGAUCCAAAAUAAGUUGGACUUCUACAUGAGAGCUUUAAUUAUUCUUCAUCUACUUCCUGAAAAGUUUGGUCAAUAAAAAAGACAAAAACUAAUAUUUUCAGCUGAACUAAAGACAGAUUUUGUGAUUUUUCUGCUCACAUGUGUUGUUGUAAACUUCCUCUUUCAAAUAAAUAGCCUCCUAACCCCCUGGAAACCAGCCUUUGUCCUGUUUUUGUGUUUCUCCUCGGUGACCCUAGACAGCCGGGUCCUAAUGUUUUUUGAGUAACACACCAUACUAUGAUGUUUUUACAAUGAUGGUUCUACUAUGGAACCAGUUUGACAUGUUCAGGUGUUCUUUGUGUGAAAACUCAGAGAUUUCAGGUAUCAGAAGGUGGUUUUCAACUUUCUUUGUUAACUUUCUGCUUCAACUUUAAAUUAAAUUUCCUUCACUAACCCAGCCCUCUGGACUCCCAGUAAGCUGUGUUCCUAUUGGCUGUCCAGGUGGCUGCUUGGUGUUAUCAGGAACACCUGAGCAGCUCAGUGUCUUCCUGCUUUAUUUAGCUGCAGACAAACAUUUCCUCUGUUUCUCUUCACCACUGAACUGGGUUUGGCUCCAUUGCUUUAGUUUGUUUUUUAGGCGUUGGCUUGCAGCUUCCAGCAGUAAAAUCGUCUUUAAUGUGUUUCUUAAUGUGUUUUAGGGCUUUGUACUGGAUAGCUGUCUUGGUAAAUGUGGUUCUUUAGCCACAGUUAGCACAUGGUGCUAAUGUGUGCAGUGAUUAGUGGAUUUGCUGCAGCUGAGUUGUGUCUUUGUCUUGGCUGUAGUGAGUCUUUAGAGGUUGUUGGUCAGACACAUUCUGUAUUCUUGUUUGAGAACCAGCGUUGGUUGUCCAGAAGGUAAGAGUUCCUGUCCUGAUUCUCUGUUCUCAGAGGUUCUCUGGUAGGUUGCAGGAGACUUUAGCGUUUGGGUUGUGUUUGUUUGGUUUUUGUACAGUUUCAUUUGGACGACUAUCUUGAGGCUCCUCCAUGUGGUUUAGUGAGGUUUUCUGGAACAGUUCUACAAAGCAACCUGCAGCAGAAGAGACUUUGAGAGUUUUUAGGAAGUUCUGGAGACCAGACUUUAGAGCAGCAGAAACAUUUGUCAGCAGUUUGAGCAGGAGAAGGUGAGCUUCAGAGUAGAAAUGAGAAGGAAACCUUUUUGACCCGUGUGGUGAGGUCCUGUACCAAGAGUUUGUGCAGGUUGUGAAGAGUCUGUAGUUCUUUGGUCUGAAAGCACAAGAAGAGUCGACUCAUUAAAGGAGAAAACAGGAGAUACUGUUGGUUCUUCUGUCGCUCUGCAGUUUCCAGAUUCCUUAGACUGAAUAUCAAGUUUAUAUUUUAAAUGAUUUCUCAUGUGAGCCCAAGAAGAUUUCAAUAAACUCCCUCCAUCCCCUGGACACAACAUAUUUUAUUACCAUGUUAAAUUUUUUUUUUUUUUUUUUUUAAAUAAUGUU
Long non-coding RNA from Amphiprion ocellaris (clown anemonefish), 5521 nucleotides. RefSeq lists it as uncharacterized. NCBI's taxonomy places the organism in Eukaryota, Metazoa, Chordata, Actinopteri, Pomacentridae. The record is from RefSeq and is a predicted model, not a curated record. The transcript has 3 exons.